This is a long non-coding RNA of Medicago truncatula (barrel medic), 5097 nucleotides long. RefSeq lists it as uncharacterized. The record is from RefSeq and is a predicted model, not a curated record. The transcript is spliced from 3 exons. Lineage: Eukaryota; Viridiplantae; Streptophyta; Magnoliopsida; Fabales; Fabaceae.
UAAAACUCCAAGGAACUACCACCACCAACCCAAUUAAACUAUAUACCAGCCAUAACUACACGCAGCUGCACACCUUUGGCAAUAAAAGAACCAAAUCUGAGCACUAAAAGCACCCAGCAUAGCAGCUCCACAAAACACUGAGGAGAUUCAAGCUGCAAACGGAGAGAAUCUGGAGGUUUAACUGUACAGAGGAGCAGAAGAGAACCAUUAGCUGCCGGUGAAGCAACCAUGUGAGCCACCAUCACGAGCCACCCAGUGUCAAGGACAAAUGAUUGGUGGUAUUCUGAUAUCAGGCUAGUCUGCACCUAGAAGUAAGUAUAUGUGGCUUUGUUCUGCGUAUUAUCUGUUAGACUCAGAGAAACUAAGAAAAAUGAGGGAUGUUAAACUCAUAGAGACUAAGAGAAAUGAGGGUCAAAAAACUGUGUCCCUCCUCAUUCUAAUUUCUGAUAUCAGUGCAAUGUAUUUACAAGCUGUCAAGUUGACUUUCAACCCACUAAAUUAGCUAAACUGACAUAUGUAUAUUUACAGCUAAUUAUGCUAAUUGAAAGAAUGAUUAUUUGACUAUUAUAAAUAAAUGUGCAAUCUUAUAGAAUGUGAUAUGCCAUUAAUUCCAUUGACACCCCCCCAUCAAAUUGAUGCUAGUAAACCUACAAGCAUCAAUUUGCCAAGUAGAAAAUUGUGCUGCUGACGUGUCAAAUUUUUAGUGAAAAUGUCAGCUGUUUGAACAGAUGUUGAGACAUGUGGUAGAUUGAUGAUUCUUCGAUCAUAGAAUUAACCUCGAUGUGUUUCGUCCAUUCAUGGAAAACUGGAUUUGCUACAAUCUGAAUGGCACUGGUGUUGUCAGCAUCUAGCGGAGUCGGUUGUUCUUGAGAGAAUCCGAGCUCUGCGAGAAGUCCACGCAACCAUAUUAUUUCAGAACAAGCAGCAGACAUUGCACGGUAUUCUGUUUCAGUGGAUGACUUUGAGACUGAAUCUUGUUUCUUACAUUUCCAUGAAAUAGGAGCAUUUCCUAGAAACAUACACCAGCCAGUACUAGAUUUUCUUGUGUUUGGAUAGCCAGCCCAAUCGGCAUCACUAUAUGCUUGAAGUUUGAUUGAUGAACCAAUAGGAAAAAAUAAGCCACGCUUUAGGGUGCCAAGGAGGUAUCUAAUGAUUCGUUGUAUUGCUGAAAGAUGAAAAUGUCGCGGAGCUUGCAUGAACUUACUAAUUGUGUGUACAACAAAAGAAAUAUCUGGGUGAGUGAUAGUUACAUAGAUGAGACUUCCCACCAGUUUGCGAUAUUUAGUGGGAUCAUCAAGGUGGUCACCUUCAUCUCUUCUAUAUUUAACAUUAACUUCCAUGGGAGUGUCAACAGGGGUUGCAUUUGUGAGUCCAGCUAGCUGGACCAAGUCUUGAAUAUACUUUUGUUAAUUUAGAAAAAUACCUUCAUGAUGAUAAUGCACCUCUAAACCCAAGAAAUAAGUGAGACGGCCCAACUCCUUCAUAUGAAAAGUUGAAUGCAACAGGUUUUUUAUCCUAGAAAUAACAUCUUGAUCAGAACCAGUCACAACAAUGUCAUCCACGUAAACAAGAGAUGGAUCAUACUGACUUUGACUGAAUUCAAAACAAGUAGUGUUGACCGAAACAUUUCAAACCAUACUCUUGGUGCCUGUUUCAAUCCAUACAAAGAUCGUUUUAGUUUGCAAGCAGUAUUAGGUGAAGGUGUAGGCAUACCAUUAGGAAGUUUGAUGUAAUUUCUUCCUGAAGAUCACCGUGGAGGAAUGCGUUUUUGAAAUCCAUUUGAUGUAACGGCCAAGCUUGUGACACAACAAUAGCAAGAAUAAUGUGCACGGUUGUCAUUUUGGCAACCGGAGCAAACGUCUCAUCAUAGUCUAGUUCAUAUUCUUGCUUAUUUCCAAGCACAGCUAAACGAGCCUUGUAAUGAUCUAUAGAUCCAUCCGAGCGCAGCUUUAUAGAAAACACAAACUUGCUACCUAAAGGUUUAACAGAUUAGGGACAUGGCACUAUAUCCCAUGUUUGAUUUUCUUCUAAGGCAAGAAGUUCAGAUUUUAUAGCUUUCUGCUACCAAUCAUUCUCCAUGGCCUCUUUAUAAGAUGAAGGAAUAGGAAUAGAAGAUAAUGAUGUUGUCAUGCAAUUGAUAUACCUAUCAGGGGGUUUACUUUCGUGUGAGCUGUGUCGUAGAGGAGCUUGUUCUGGUUCUUCUAUUGGACCAGCAACCAAGGAAUUAUCUUGAGGGGGCCCAUGAGUGGCAGUACUACGUCUUUUGUAGGUCAAGAGAGGUUUAGAAGGUUGUUGCCCUGAAUGAUAGUUAGAAAACAAUGGCAAAAUAUAAACUGGAGAAGAGACAAGGUCAUGAUGUGAUGCAAAAAAAUAUAUUUAUUUUAUUGGAAUAUGACAUUUCUAGAUACCCGAAUCCUACGAAGGUUAGGAUCAUAACAUAGAAAACCCCUUUGAUGAGGAGAAUAUCCAAGAAAAGCACAUUCAACAAAUUGUGCAGUGAGCUUGGUGCGUUCUUGUGGAGGAAGAUGGACAUAACACACACAACCGAAGACACGUAAAGUGUUGUAAUUUGGUGGGUGAUCAUAUAAUCGAGUGAAAGGGGAUUCAUUACCUAUUGAUGGAGAUGGCAUUCUGUUUAUAAGAUGGACAUCAGUGGAAAGAGCUUCAUACCAAAAUCGUGAAGGCACAUGAGACUCUAACAAAUGGGUGCGAACAACAUCGAGCAAAUGACGGUUUUUUCUUUCCGCUACCCCAUUUUGUUGUGGAGUCGAGGCGCAUGACCUUUGAGAUAUAAUGCCAUUAGAUUGCAAAAAUGCUUGAAAUGAGUGUGACAUGUAUUCCCCCCAUUGUCAGAGCGAAAUAUUUUGAUUUUUGAUGAAAAUUGGGUCUGAACAUAAGCAUGAAAAAAAUUGAAAGAGGAAAAGACUUCAUCUUUUGAUCGCAGAAAAUAGACCCAUGUGAAACGACUAUAAUCAUCAAUAAAAGUUACAAAUUAUUUGUAAUGAGCAUGAGAUAUAACUGGUGUCACGCCCCAAACAUAACUAUGGAUUAUAUCAAAAGGUUGUGUUACAUUAGACUAAUGUGUUGGAAAUGGCAAUAUUUUAAUUUUACCAAGCUUACAAGGAAUGCAAUCAAAAUGAACAGAAUUAAGUGAUGGAGUGUGUUUAUUUCCAAGAAAAUUUGAUUUUAGCAACUGAUGAAGUACAUUUGUGUUUGGAUGUCCAAGACGCUUAUGCCACACUUGAUAAUCAACAAUAGCAGAAUUACAAGAAAAUAAAGGCAAAGAAAGACUUUGAGGCAAUGAAAACUGGAUUGGGAAAAGACGUCCAACUUUAGGCCCCUUCGCGAUUAUCUUCCCUUAUUGUUGAUCCUGCACAAGACAACCAAAUUGUGAGAAUUGUACUUGACAAUCAUUCUCGACUAAUUGACCAAUCGAAAUGAGAUUACUAGUGAGACCAGCAGAGACAAAAAAUUUUGUUAGAGAUGAAGAAAUAGCAUUGGUGGCUGUUAUAGGUAAUUGAUUUCCAUCAGCAAUAUGUAUCUUGAGAUUUCCAAAAUAUUUUUUUUGAUAUUAGUAAGAAAUUGGGCAUUGCUGGUCAUGUGGUUGGAAGCCCCCGAAUCAAAGUACCAGGAAGAAGAGGAUUUACCUGAGAUUCCUAGAGCAGAGAAGGCAGAAAUGACCAUUUGUUGAACCAUUUCAGGGGUCACCGUUGAAGUAGUAGGAGCAUUUUGCUGAACCGGUGUUGGUUUGACCGAGUUGCUAGGAAUAGAUGAAUCAACUGAGGUUGUAAAGGCUGUGACAUUUCUCCUUGGUGGCCUUAUUGGGCAUUCCUUAAGAAUAUGUCCCUCUUUUUUGCAUAAGUUGCAGACUUUGUUUGGUUUGAAGCAUAAUGUCCCAAUUUCUUGCAACAGAAACAUUGAAAAUCACUCAUGUCAUGACUUUUUGUCUUUCCUCGUGCCACAUAAGCCACUAGAACAGUAGGCAACUUUUGAUCUUCAAUGAUGGAUUGUGUUAGUAGACGUUGUUCUUCAUGUAACAGAUCAUUGAAACAUGCAUCCAAUGAUGGUACAGGGUUUCUAUGCAUGAGAUUGAACCAAAUACAUUCAAAUUCAGAUCUCAAUUUCAUAAGAAAUUGAUCUCGCUUGGUAGUUUCAUGAACAGAUUGCAAAGAACUUAGACCUUCAGAAGUCAAGUCUGCAUACACUAUUUCAGUAUAUUCAGCCCAAAGAUUUAUGAAUUGAGAGUAAAAUUCAGAGUUGAAGAGACUAUCAUGUUUAAAUAAGGAUUUGUCGUGUUCAAGCUGGAAUCUUCGAGCGGCGUUGUUCUGAUUGUAAACUUUCUUCAAGUAAUUCCACAUUGUGGCUGCUGUUUUGUAAGCUCGCAGAUUCAGGACAAUGUUUGGAUCAACAGAACCUAGGACCCAAGACAUGACUUGAGCAUCUUUGACUACCCAUUUGGCAUGUGCAACCUUAUUUUUCUCUUUCUCAGGAACUGGAGUGCUACCAUCAACAUGACCCCACAAAUCUUUUCCUGUGACAAAUAUCUCGAAAUGGAAUGCCCAAGUUGAGUAGUUUUUGCAAUUAAGGCGAACCACCAAGAUUUCAUGUUUUUCGGUAGACAUGUGACUAUGGAAAUAGGUAUUGAACAAGAAUGUGAGGUUAAUCUGGACUAGGAAACGAAUAACUGAGACACAUAAGGGAAAAGAAGAAGGAAAAAAAAACAGACUAGGUUCUUGGAUUGUAACCUAGGCUGAUACCAUGUUAGACUCAGAGAAACUAAGAGAAAUGAGGAAUGUUAAACAAAAAGAGACUAAGAGAAAUGAGGGUCAAAAAACCGUGUCCCUCUUCAUUCUGAUUUCUGAUAUAAAUACAAUGUAUUUACAAGCUGUCAAGUUGACUUUCAACCCACUAAAUUAGCUAAACUGACAUAUGUAUAUUUACAGCUAAUUAUGCUAAUUGAAAGAAUGAUUAUUUGACUAUUACAAAUAAAUGUGCAAUCUUAUAGAAUUUGAUUUGCCAUUAAUUCCAUUGACAUUAUCAUGUCACCAAGGUUGGAUUACAGGAGUCUGUUUCUCUCAAGUCCUAACUUUCUAUCUG